AUGAACGCUGGCGGCGUGCCUAACACAUGCAAGUCGAGCGAGAAAGUCCCCUUCGGGGGGCGAGUAAAGCGGCGCACGGGUGAGUAACGCGUGGGUAACCUGCCCUUGAGUGGGGAUAACCAGCCGAAAGGCUGACUAAUCCCGCAUACGACCGGCAGACACAAGUCUGUCGGGGAAAGAUGGCCUCUGCUUGCAAGCUAUCGCUCUUGGAUGGGCCCGCGUUGGAUUAGCUAGUUGGUGGGGUAACGGCCUACCAAGGCUGCGAUCCAUAGCUGGUUUGAGAGGACGACCAGCCACACUGGAACUGAGACACGGUCCAGACUCCUACGGGAGGCAGCAGUGAGGAAUAUUGCGCAAUGGGGGAAACCCUGACGCAGCGACGCCGUGUGAGCGAUGAAGGCCUUCGGGUCGUAAAGCUCUGUCAGAGGGAAAGAAAGGGUCGGCGGAAUAAUACCCGCCGACAUUGACGGUACCCUCGGAGGAAGCACCGGCUAACUCCGUG
RNAcentral lists this ribosomal RNA (502 nucleotides) under uncultured bacterium. Its description in RNAcentral is "bacterial SSU rRNA". It matches the Rfam family "Bacterial small subunit ribosomal RNA", at positions 29 to 507 of the family's 1533-position model. The record is from RNAcentral.